GUCUUUUUGUUAAAAAUUUAAAGUCGGGCCUGCCCACUGAAACUUUAAAUGGCCGUGGUAUUUUGACCGUGCUAAGGUAGCAUAAUCAUUAGUUUUUUAAUUGAAAGCUGGAAUGAAAGGUUUGAUAAAAAAAUGACUGUCUCUAUUUAAUUUUAUUAGAAAUUUAUUUUUAAGUUCAAAAGCUUAAUUUUUAUUAAAAGACGAGAAGACCCUAUAGAGUUUAAUAAUUUAAGGUAAUUUAUAUUUUAGAAUUAAUUCAUUUAUUUUUUAAUAUUAUUUAAUUGGGGUGAUUGAAAAAUUUAAUUAACUUUUUUUAUAUUUGACCAUUAAUUUAUGAUAAUUUGAUCCAAUUUUUUUGAUUAUAAGAUAAAAUUACCUUAGGGAUAACAGCGUAAUUUUUUUAGAAAGUUCAAAUUAAAAGAAAAGAUUGCGACCUCGAUGUUGGAUUAAAAUUAAAUUUUGGUGUAGAAGCUAAAAAUUUUAAGUCUGUUCGACUUUUAAAAUUUUACA
Molecule: ribosomal RNA, 510 nt
Filed under: Calligrapha ignota
Lineage: Eukaryota; Metazoa; Arthropoda; Insecta; Coleoptera; Chrysomelidae
Description: partial 16S ribosomal RNA
Rfam family: Bacterial large subunit ribosomal RNA (bases 383-510)
Source: RNAcentral